ACGGGGAGCUGGGAUUUGGCACGCAGUCCUGUGGAGCGCCGGUUGCUGCUCUGGACGUCCGUGUGGUCGGAGCUGCGAAAAGACUGAUGAGCAACGGUCUGUGAGAGGAAGUGGAGAGUUUGAGGAGUUAGUAAACCUUCAACUACAUCAGUGAGAAUAACAGUACGGCCCUGGAAACUGUUACUGGUCCUGAACAAACAGGUGAUGGAGCGUCAGGUGAGAUGAUGACAGGUCAUAACUACGACUCACACGGGGUUAGAGUCGGUUCUCUGUGGUUCAGGCUUCUGGGUCUUAGACUCUUGACUGGAGACGCUGGAGAACAGGAACAGGUCGUCUUUGGUCUGAGAGAUCUGUGCAGGAAAAGAAGGACGUUUAAAUACGUCUUACCCUCUCUGAAGGAACUUCCACAGCUCCAGUUUAAGGCGGGGCUUCCCUUCUUCCGAGGGCUGGUGUUAGAUCGUCUCAGCUUGCUGCUGUCCCGUCCCUUCCUGCCUCCCCCGACGUUGUUCCCUUUGAAGG
Cynoglossus semilaevis (tongue sole) is the source of this 519-nucleotide long non-coding RNA. RefSeq lists it as uncharacterized. The transcript has 4 exons. Lineage: Eukaryota; Metazoa; Chordata; Actinopteri; Pleuronectiformes; Cynoglossidae. The record is from RefSeq and is a predicted model, not a curated record.